CUGACAUGGGGGCACCCUGACCGCCUGCCGCGUGAGUGAUGAAGGCCUUCGGGUUGUAAAGCUCUUUUGGCGGGGACGAUGAUGACGGUACCCGCAGAAUAAGCCCCGGCUAACUUCGUGCCAGCAGCCGCGGUAAGACGAAGGGGGCUAGCGUUGUUCGGAAUUACUGGGCGUAAAGCGCGUGUAGGCGGUUUUCCAAGUUGGGUGUGAAAGCCUUGGGCUUAACCCAAGAAAUGCACUCAGUACUGGAAGACUAGAGGACCGGAGAGGAUAGUGGAAUUCCCAGUGUAGUGGUGAAAUACGUAGAGAUUGGGAAGAACACCAGUGGCGAAGGCGGCUAUCUGGACGGUUUCUGACGCUAAGACGCGAAA
RNAcentral lists this ribosomal RNA (371 nucleotides) under uncultured bacterium. Its description in RNAcentral is "bacterial SSU rRNA". It matches the Rfam family "Bacterial small subunit ribosomal RNA", at positions 366 to 758 of the family's 1533-position model. The record is from RNAcentral.